RNAcentral lists this ribosomal RNA (771 nucleotides) under Rubritepida sp. Its description in RNAcentral is "bacterial SSU rRNA". It matches the Rfam family "Bacterial small subunit ribosomal RNA", at positions 67 to 883 of the family's 1533-position model. The record is from RNAcentral. Lineage: Bacteria; Pseudomonadati; Pseudomonadota; Alphaproteobacteria; Acetobacterales; Roseomonadaceae.
CGGGCCUUUCGGGGUCAGUGGCGGACGGGUGAGUAACGCGUAGGAAUGUGUCCUGAGGUGGGGGAUAACGCUGGGAAACUGGCGCUAAUACCGCAUGAGUGCUGAGGCAGAAAGCCGUGAGGCGCCUUGGGAGCAGCCUGCGUCCGAUUAGCUUGUUGGUGGGGUAAUGGCCUACCAAGGCUGCGAUCGGUAGCUGGUCUGAGAGGAUGAUCAGCCACACUGGGACUGAGACACGGCCCAGACUCCUACGGGAGGCAGCAGUGGGGAAUAUUGGACAAUGGGCGCAAGCCUGAUCCAGCAAUUCCGCGUGGGUGAAGAAGGUCUUCGGAUUGUAAAGCCCUUUCGGCAGGGACGAUGAUGACGGUACCUGCAGAAGAAGCCCCGGCUAACUUCGUGCCAGCAGCCGCGGUAAUACGAAGGGGGCUAGCGUUGCUCGGAAUGACUGGGCGUAAAGGGCGCGUAGGCGGUUUGCACAGUCAGGCGUGAAAUUCCCGGGCUUAACCUGGGGGCUGCGUUUGAUACGUGCGGACUUGAGGAUGAGAGAGGCUCGUGGAAUUCCCAGUGUAGAGGUGAAAUUCGUAGAUAUUGGGAAGAACACCGGUGGCGAAGGCGGCGAGCUGGCUCAUUUCUGACGCUGAGGCGCGAAAGCGUGGGAGCAAACAGGAUUAGAUACCCUGGUAGUCCACGCUGUAAACGAUGUGCGCUGGAUGUUGGGAAGCUUAGCUUCUCAGUGUCGUAGCUAACGCGAUAAGCGCACCGCCUGGGGAGUAC